Molecule: long non-coding RNA, 1903 nt
Organism: Heterocephalus glaber (naked mole-rat)
Lineage: Eukaryota; Metazoa; Chordata; Mammalia; Rodentia; Bathyergidae
Source: RefSeq, a predicted model, not a curated record
GUCACUUCCGGCUCUGAGCUCCGCUUCCUCAUCUGUUUGGCGCGCAUAAAAUAAUGCGCGGGUCUCGGUUUCCAGUGUGCUAACAGGCUGGGGAGCCCGUACCCAGUAGGCCUGUCGCGAGUGGACGCCCGUGCUCGGAAGUGGCUCAGUGUGUCGUGGGAUCAUGCGAGAAAGGUUCUCUGAAAGCUCCAACUGGGGACGCAGGUGCAGGUGCGUCUGCCUUGUUUGUGCAGGAAACCCUGGUGACAGCGCUGUGAAGUGAUGAUGUCCCUUGGCAGGUUUGUCCCUCAGGAAGCUCACGUGCAGCACUUGGGAAGAAUGGGUUCAACCCAGGCCCACUGCUGGGUAACCAGUGCCCGGGCCUCCCAGGGCCUCACCGCUCACACUCCAUUCAGCAGACCCAGGACGUCAGAGAGCCAGAAGAACUGGGCUGAAGGCAGGGAGUUUGGCUCGGCCUUUCCUGAGCUGCACCGCUGGCCGGACUCUGCUGGAGCAGCUUCACCCGAGCCUCCACUCUCUCUGCAGGCCCUGCUCUGGCUCCUGCGCCUUCCUCGAAGAGCAGGGCGCAUCUCCCCGGGAACCUGGCCUCAGGGGCUCCAGGGACCCCAGCUGCAGCGGGGCAGCCCCACCCCAGGCAGCCCCUCCAUCCUGUCUUCCUUCGCUCUUUGCCUUGAGCGUGGCUCUCCAGGGUGUGAGGCGCCUGGUGGCUCUGGCAGCCGACGUGGUCCUCACAUGGGUCCCGACUCCAAAUGCAAGCAUCUUUGUCAUCGCUUCCUUUCCCCCGUUUCCUGGGAAUUCAGCACGUUUCAGGACACAGCCUACACUUUCUGCAACAAGACUGCCCUUGCCUGCUUGACUCUCCUCGCCGUUCCCAGGCGACUUUGGAUCUACAAGUGUGAUGGAAGAAUACAGUGAAUGAGUAAAUAAAAAUCUCUUACAGUAAAGGACUCAUUCAUCAUCCCCUCCCUUGUCCUGCUCACUUCAGUACACACAUCCCAUUCUUUUCGCCCUUGUCUGAAACAAUUUGCAGCUUAUAUUUAUGGAGAUUUCUGUCAAAUCAAAAUAUUAGGCUGUGUCUUUAUCCACACCAGAUCUGCCACCACGUGACUUCCAGCUCUCAAAAUGACCAUGGCAGUGCACGUUUUGAGUGGAUUCAGGACAUCGAGGCAGCCACGAUAGCACAACUAAAGACACUCUUGAAAGAAGGCUCGCGGAACUGCUCCAGAAAGUGGCAAGAAUGAUGGGAUAAGUGCGUUCGCUGGGAGAGGGAGUAUUUUAAGGACGAUUCAUGGGACAGGGUCUUCUACUGUAAUAAUUGAAAGAAUUGAAGCAUUCACCUCUUUUUUUUUAAUCAUUCUGCCUACCGUAGUCAUUGCAUGCACGGCUGCGUAUUAGGAAGUUUCUGUGUACGGCCACGCUCCUCCUCACUCACCGCUGGAAUGAGAUUGUAAGCUCUUUGAGAGCAGGGAACAUUCCUUACUCAUAUUUAUCAUCCCGAGGCUUUGGGUCUCGGAGGGACUUCUGAAGCCAGGUCAGAUCUUGCCCUCUAGCAGCUCUGUGGCCUGGGAAGGAGAGGGGAAGAGACCACAGUGGCGACACAGUCACGGGAGGAAUACUGGGAAUGAGCCACCCCUGCCUGAUGCAUGGAUUUGAAACCAACCCUUAGGGGAGAAUUUUAUCGUUGGUGCCUUUGACUUUGCUUUGUUUGGCUUAUUUAUCUUUUCCUUUUUUGUUUUGUACCGGGGAUCAAACUCAGGACCUUGCACUUGCGAGGCAGGCACGGUGCCGCAGAGCUAAAUCCCUGGCCCAUUUUUUCCUUUUGAUGAAUUCUAUCUUCUCUGAUUUGCAGUGAGAUUUUGGGACAAUAAGCUUUCUUAGUAUUGAGCCUCAGUUUCUUCAAUUA